GUAAAAACCUUAAACUACAA
RNAcentral lists this small nuclear RNA (20 nucleotides) under Arabidopsis thaliana (thale cress). Its description in RNAcentral is "snRNA_02151". Lineage: Eukaryota; Viridiplantae; Streptophyta; Magnoliopsida; Brassicales; Brassicaceae. The record is from RNAcentral.